CGAAGGCCAACUCGAUCGACCCUAGUUCGUGCGUACGUGUGUCCCUUGGAGCGUAUAUCAUCUGGUAUCAGAGCCGAAAGGUUCUACACCCUAGGUUGUAUCCCUCCUUUACUUUCGUUUUAGUUUUUGUUUCGUUCAUCUUAAGUCAAAAAAAAUAAAAAAAAGUAAUAGUAUCUCGUAGUUGCACUUGUUUCGAUUGUUAAGUUGUUAGUUUCGAUUUGCAUCACCUAUAUUUAAAAAAAGAAAAAAAAAAUAGUUAGUAGUAAUCUUGUAGUUGUGUGAGUUAAUCGUUAGUUAAGUUCAAAAAAAAAAAAAAAAGAAAUUGUCAGUUUUCAGUUUGCUCUUGUUCGAAUUCCGUUUAUUACCCGUUCGUUGAUACUUGCUGUUUUUGUCACUUCUUUUGCAUCCGCAGAUGGAGAACAACGCCGAAGCUCCCUUGGACCCUAUUGCAGCCACAUUAGCUGCUAUCCAAGCCACUCUCCAAACGUUUGGAGACCGCAUGACCCGUCUCGAGCAACCUCGGGUCAUCAACCCCAUCCGGAACCAACAACCUCCUCCGCGAGCACCGAAUGAAGGCGUGUACGAACAAGGAGAACCCCAUGUCGGACCCCAAAGGAGAGACCCGGUUCAUAGAGGACGGGAGAGAGACGAAAAUCCACCCCACCAAAUGGUUGACCCGAAGCUUACGGCGCCUACCUUUGCCGGACGAGUCGACCCCGAUGCCUACCUUGAUUGGGAGAAGCGGAUNNNNNNNNNNNNNNNNNNNNNNNNNNNNNNNNNNNNNNNNNNNNNNNNNNNNNNNNNNNNNNNNNNNNNNNNNNNNNNNNNNNNNNNNNNNNNNNNNNNNACUUACAAAAACGUUUUCGUAAGUUGGUGCAGGGAAAUAAGACGGUCGAAGAAUACUAUGAGGAAUUUGAGCAGCUUAUCAACCGGUUGGAGACCGAAGAAUCGGAGGAGACUCUCAUGGCUCAGUUCAUAGAAGGACUUCAAGACCGAAUCUCUCGCAAGGUGGAAAGGCAACCCUAUCAUGACUUGCAAGAAGUGGUACAUUUAGCUAUUCAAGCCGAGCAACAUAUUAGACGAAAGGUGGCAACCGUUAGCCGAGUUAAAGUCAAUCCGUGGACUCCGGGAACUUCUAAGCCACCGGACAAAGGCAAAGCGAUCGAGGUGGACUCGCGGUUUAAGAAGAAUACGGUGGAAAACUCCAAGGCUCCAAUCCGACCGGAAGCAAGUAAAGCCGUUUCUACUAACCGUUCUCGAGAUAUAAUUUGUUUUAAAUGUCAGGGACGCGGACAUAUGGCGAGAGAAUGCCCUAACCAGCGAGUCAUGAUCAUAACCACCAACGGUUACGAGUCCCAAGAUGAACCGGAGGAAGAUACUAGCGACCCGGACGAUGGAAUUGAAUACCCGGACGUAGGUGAACUUUUGGUCAUUCGUCGGGCGCUCAACAUGACGGUUAACCCGGAAGAAACCGUACAACGGGAAAACAUAUUCCAUACAAGAUGCACCGUGAGCAACAAGGUAUGUAGUCUCAUUAUCGACGGUGGUUCUUGUACUAACGUGGCUAGCAAGUUAUUGGUCGACAAGUUAGGUCUACCCACGAGAAAGCAUCCAAGACCGUAUAAGUUAAGGUGGCUUAAUGACACCGUGGAGCUCAAGAUCGCUGAACAAGCCACGGUGAACUUUAGUAUAGGCAAGUAUCACGACGAGGUCUUAUGUGAUGUUGUGCCUAUGCAAGCCGGGCAUCUCCUACUCGGAAGACCUUGGCAAUACGACCAUGAAACCUUGCAUAACGGGCGUACCAACUACUACACGUUCAUGCAUAACAAGCGGAAGGUUACUCUAGCCCCACUCACACCCUCCGAGGUACAUGAUUUACAACGUAAGAUGAGCAAGGAUGCCCCGGUAAGUAAGGCUAGUCUCUUUGUAUCUUCUAACACGGUUGGUAAGGUUUUAAACUCCAAACACACCGUGCUACUUAUGAUCUUCAAAGAAAGUAUGUUUUCAGGACUAGAGUGUCUAGACUUGCCCGCCGAAGUGAGUACCAUGCUUAAGCAAUUUGAAGAUGUAUUUCCCGAAGAAAUUCCAUCCGGCUUACCUCCGAUCCGUGGAAUCGAACACCAAAUUGAUCUCGUCCCCGGAUCCGCCUUACCAAACCGGCCCGCAUAUAAGAUGAACCCCACGGAAGCUAAGGAGUUAGAAUCACAAGUUCAAGACCUCAUGUCGAAGGGUUACAUCCGUGAGAGUCUUAGCCCUUGUGCCGUGCCCGUGUUGUUAGUACCUAAGAAAGGCGGGACGUGGAGAAUGUGCGUGGACUGCCGAGCUAUCAACAACAUUACCAUCAAGUACCGACACCCCAUUCCUCGCCUCGACGACAUGUUAGAUGAACUUGAUGGAGCCACUAUCUUUUCGAAGAUAGACUUGAAGAGUGGAUAUCACCAAGUUCGCAUGAAAGAAGGAGACGAAUGGAAGACCGCGUUUAAAACCAAGCAAGGCCUCUACGAGUGGCUAGUCAUGCCGUUCGGCCUUACCAACGCCCCUAGUACAUUCAUGCGACUCAUGAAUCAUGUCUUAAGGGCCUACAUUUGUAAGUUUGUAGUCGUUUAUUUCGAUGACAUUCUUAUUUAUAGCCGGAACUUAUCCGAACACUUAUCACACCUUGAGCAAGUUCUUGAGACUCUCCGCAAGGAAGAACUCUAUGCUAACCUCAAGAAGUGUGUGUUUUGCACUGAUCAACUGGUCUUUUUAGGUUUUGUUGUAAGUUCACAGGGCAUACAGGUUGAUCAAGAAAAGAUUAAAGCCAUAGAAGAAUGGCCGACUCCCACUACCAUUGGUCAUGUUCGAAGUUUUCAUGGGCUGGCUAGUUUUUAUAGACGUUUUGUGAAGGAUUUCAGCACCGUAGCUGCACCCCUUACCGCCGUGAUCAAGAAGCAUGUAGCAUUUUCAUGGGGAGAAGCUCAAGAGAGAGCUUUCCGGGAGCUUAAAGAUCGUCUAACGCNNNNNNNNNNNNNNNNNNNNNNNNNNNNNNNNNNNNNNNNNNNNNNNNNNNNNNNNNNNNNNNNNNNNNNNNNNNNNNNNNNNNNNNNNNNNNNNNNNNNGCUCGGUGGCUAGAGUUCGUAGAGACUUUUCCGUACAUCAUCAAAUACAAGAAAGGAAAAGAAAACAUUGUAGCCGAUGCACUUUCGCGUCGACACGCUCUCAUCACCACCAUGGACGCUAAAGUUUUAGGGUUUGAACACGUGAAGAUUGCUUAUCUAGAAGAUACCGACUUUGGAUCCAUCUUCAAGGAGUGUGACAAGGCAGCUUUCGGACCCUACUACAAGCAUGACGGCUACUUAUUCCGAGAUAAGCGACUAUGCAUACCCCAAGGAUCGAUGCGGGAGCUUAUCACCCGAGAAGCACAUAGUGGAGGACUCAUGGGCCAUUUUGGAGUAGACAAGACCAUGGCUAUACUUGCGGAACAUUUCUUCUGGCCACAUAUGAGGAAAGACGUCGAACGAUUUUGCGCAAAAUGCAUCACUUGCCUCCGCGCUAAAUCCAGGUCACACCCCCAUGGUUUAUAUAUGCCUUUACCUAUUCCUAAUGCUCCAUGGGAGGAUAUUUCUAUGGAUUUUGUUUUAGGUUUGCCAAAGAUUCAACAUAAAGACUCCAUCUUCGUGGUAGUCGAUCGAUUCUCAAAAAUGGCGCAUUUUAUACCAUGUGACAAGACCAAUGAUGCAACUCAAACCGCCGAUCUAUUCUUUAAAGAAGUAGUGCGCAUACACGGAGUGCCUCGAACCAUUGUCUCCGACCGAGACACCAAGUUCAUGAGCCAUUUUUGGAGGACGUUAUGGCGAAAACUCGGAACCAAACUCCUUUUCUCCACCACUUGCCAUCCCCAAACGGACGGCCAAACCGAGGUUGUAAACCGUACUCUAUCAACUUUACUUAGAGUAACGGUCGGUAAGAACCCUAGAAACUGGUUGGAAUGUUUACCGUACAUUGAAUUUGCUUAUAACCGAGCUACUCAUUCCGCUUCUAAGUUUUGUCCUUUUGAAGUUGUUUACGGCUUUAAACCAUUAACCCCGCUGGAUUUAGCACCACUACCCCCGGGAUCACGAAUCGAUCAAGACGGUAAACGCAAGGCGGAAUUGGUUCAAAAGCUACAUCAAACCGUUAAGGAGAACUUGGAGAAAAAGACGGAAAAAUACAAGCAACGGAUGGACAAGAACCGCAAAGAAGUCAUCUUUGAACCCGGCGAUUGGGUUUGGUUACACUUGAGAACCGAGAGGUUUCCAACGAAGAGAAGUUCCAAACUAUCCCCUCGCGGCGACGGACCUUUCAAGAUAGUCGAACGAAUCAACAACAACGCUUACCGGCUAGAACUCCCAGGUGAGUAUAACGGGUCUAAAAGUUUCAACGUCACUGACUUAUCUCCUUUUGAUAUAGGACGACCAGUUCUGAGGCCAGAACAUUUUCAAGAGGGAGGGGAUGAUGAGGACAUAGGACCGGACAUCGACGAGUGCUCGACGGACGGCCACGACCCGGUAACGAGUGACCCGACACCAACAAUCCCGACGGUCAUAGCUGGACCAAUGACCCGUUCACGGACGAGGAAGCUAAGAGAAACAUUCAAUGAAGGAGUUGAGGCCCUGAUCAACGCAACCGGCCAAACGGAUAUUCUAUCGGCCGACCCUCGACCUCCGGACGCGAGUGGAAGCCUCAACAAGUUCCAUCGACCCAACGAUGGAGAACAGACCAACCGAGGUAAGUUUCAUCGACCAAGUCCAUAUUUUAGGACUAACGAUCGAGCCGGUUUUGCAGGAAACCCCCUAGAAGCACGAGUCGAUCGAGCAUCGUCACCCGGCAUCGACGACACGAACGCCCGAACGAUCGACCCGGACGACCCACCACCAAACAUCAAGGGAUUCGAGAUUCAUCAACAAAGUGCUNNNNNNNNNNNNNNNNNNNNNNNNNNNNNNNNNNNNNNNNNNNNNNNNNNNNNNNNNNNNNNNNNNNNNNNNNNNNNNNNNNNNNNNNNNNNNNNNNNNNAUUUUAAAAGCUUUGAUCGAGAGCGUUUGGAGAAACAACCCGCAGAACAUGAAGAAGCUCGACAAGUACCACCCCGGACGCCGGAAAGCUUGUACGGAGCGAAGUCUCGAACCAAGUUGAUCCAAACAGCUUGGGCUUCGAUAAUCACUCGAUAAGUGAUGUUUCUGGAGACAACGAUCGAAGCCGAAAUGCCCACGACCGAGACGGAUUGGGAGAUGAUCGAGAGGAGCAAUACUACCGUCGUAACUGCACGUCCGAAGCCCGUAACACCGAGAAUGGAGGACAAGGCCGUAUAGGCUCGUACGAAGUUAAAAACUGUCUAGAAAACAAAAACCAAGGUGAAGAAGAAGAAGGAGAACCAGAGACAACUACGUGGCCUCUCAUUUCGUCGAAUAAGGUAAGUUCGGUUUUUAUUGUUUCCAUUUUCUCUUAAGUGUUUUGCAGGACCUAUCAACCGAACAAUUUGCGUUUUAUGUCAUAGAGUCUAAGUCCUAGAGAGUCGAACCUAAGCCUCCGACUUGUGGAGAGGGUUCACUUGUGCGAAUGACACAAGUUUCCUUUUUGGUUGUUUUCUUUAUUUUAUUUGUAACCGUUCAUUUAUUUGAGAUUGAAUCUCGACCCUCGAAGGUCAUGGCUGAAGGACUAUUAAUAAAGUCCCAUUCGCAGCCUUGUAGUCACGUUUUUAACCUAGAUCAAUAAAGUUGCAUUUUCUUCUCUUGCGCCGUUUGCGAGUUGAGAGUUCUUACGCGAGUAUUCUUGAGUGGUUUCCCCUUGAAUCAACCCGUGUGAGCUUGUUACUUAGUUGAUCGAACCCCCUUGCUUCCCCUAAGCUUCCUUGUUCCAUUGAGUUCGUCUUGUUUGCGGUUAUAUCGAGAGAGAGCGAAGGCCAACUCGAUCGACCCUAGUUCGUGCGUACGUGUGUCCCUUGGAGCGUAUAUCAUCUGGUAUCAGAGCCGAAAGGUUCUACACCCUAGGUUGUAUCCCUCCUUUACUUUCGUUUUAGUUUUUGUUUCGUUCAUCUUAAGUCAAAAAAAAUAAAAAAAAGUAAUAGUAUCUCGUAGUUGCACUUGUUUCGAUUGUUAAGUUGUUAGUUUCGAUUUGCAUCACCUAUAUUUAAAAAAAGAAAAAAAAAAUAGUUAGUAGUAAUCUUGUAGUUGUGUGAGUUAAUCGUUAGUUAAGUUCAAAAAAAAAAAAAAAAGAAAUUGUCAGUUUUCAGUUUGCUCUUGUUCGAAUUCCGUUUAUUACCCGUUCGUUGAUACUUGCUGUUUUUGUCACUUCUUUUGCAUCCGCAGAUGGAGAACAACGCCGAAGCUCCCUUGGACCCUNNNNN
This 6361-nucleotide long non-coding RNA is filed under the name Capsella rubella. RNAcentral describes it as "long non-coding RNA (CRUB_LNC000536)". The record is from RNAcentral. Lineage: Eukaryota; Viridiplantae; Streptophyta; Magnoliopsida; Brassicales; Brassicaceae.